CAAAUCCUUGGAAUCUGGAGCUGACCCCUGAGGGGUUCAGUUUCUUUGAAAACCACAGAAGGGAAAAUGCAGUGGAGAACUUGUGAACAACUGGGUCAGGAAAAACUGUGGCUGCUUUUCAGGGCUCUGAUCUAGGAACCCCAGAUGCAAAGACAUGCUGGCGUCCUCUUGCUCAGCCAUUCACCAGGAAACAGGGCUGCUGCUCAGUGAAUACUGCAGAACUAUAGACCAAAGACUCAGAGCCGGAAAGGAGAAGUAAGCA
RNAcentral lists this long non-coding RNA (262 nucleotides) under Cercocebus atys (sooty mangabey). RNAcentral's name for it is "lncRNA (ENSCATG00000045721.1)". Lineage: Eukaryota; Metazoa; Chordata; Mammalia; Primates; Cercopithecidae. The record is from RNAcentral.